AGAAGGAUGAGCUAGACAACCUAGCUAUGGUCCUGAAAGGAUUUUUCUUUUGGGAAACAUAUGCCAGAGAAAGUGCACGGAACUGUUGCGAGCAUGCAAGGACUUUAAGUGAGGAAGGUUUUACAGAAAAAUGCAGGUUAACGCACUCAGAAGUCUGCAGUGUAUGAGUGAUGUGAAAGAGAUAUCUUGGGCUUUGAGUUGAACAACUUCCCAAUCAAUCUGAAUUGCGUGAAUGAUUUUGUGAAAGUGUCUAUGCAGAAAGGCAUAUAUGGAUAUUUGUUUACAGGUGUCCAUACCUAAACAACAUUGGCUCCUGAAGAUAUCUGGUACCUCUUGAGUUUUGUCUUCCUGCAAGAACCUGUAGCCUUUUUUUGGUAAAUAAGAAAUAAGAGCUAUGUCAUGAAAUAAUUUCUGCCUGAUAAGAAAGCACCCUUGUAAGGAUGCUUUUCCCCAUCAUUGCACAGAAUAUGUUCAGCGUUUUCUCCAUCGGUGAACUCUCUACUUCCACAAAACACUGUUUUGGGGUCAGCUUGGCAGCACAGCAGAGCUCUGACGACUUCUGCAGCAGAUGAAGUACAGCCAAAGGGCUGCAUCCUUAGCAGAGAUGAGAAAACUGAAAUUCUUCUGAGAAGCAAAUAAUUGUUUAAGAAAUGAAGAUUACAGGAUACUACUACAAUUCAUGUUUAAAUAAUGUUUGAAUACCAUAAAACUCUUCUAACGGACAUUGAAUGAUGUGACUUGGAAAACAAUGGAAAACAACCUCAUCUGUAAUAUGGUAUUCUUAGUUGUUAAUGGCAUUAAAUAACAACCUUUUAAAAGCAGGAUGUUCGUAUUACCAUAUUACCACAAAAAAUAUUAAGAUUAAAUAAAAAAAUAGCAAAAUUAAAAUAAUUUCUUAUAUCCUACUGCUUGUAUUCUUAUUGAAACCUAAAUAUUUUCCAUAGCACUUACACAUUCACACCAUCUGCUCCCAGAUUCAUUACUAUUUAACACACUCUCCCCAGUCUGAUCCACUUGAAAGCUUUCCAACAUUAACUUUCUCCCAUUAGCAAGACCAGAAAGUAAUUGUAACAUAACAUUUUAAGUAAGAAUUAAAGGUUGAUAAAAGAAGUUUAUGAUGAGCUACUCAUGCUGGAAAAAGAUGUAGAAUCUAAUCUAAGAUAGAUGAA
Long non-coding RNA from Cuculus canorus (common cuckoo), 1169 nucleotides. RefSeq lists it as uncharacterized. Lineage: Eukaryota; Metazoa; Chordata; Aves; Cuculiformes; Cuculidae. The transcript is spliced from 5 exons. The record is from RefSeq and is a predicted model, not a curated record.